Molecule: ribosomal RNA, 465 nt
Filed under: uncultured bacterium
Lineage: Bacteria
Description: partial 16S ribosomal RNA
Rfam family: Bacterial small subunit ribosomal RNA
Source: RNAcentral
GACGAACGCUGGCGGCGUGCCUAACACAUGCAAGUCGAACGGAAAGGCUCCUUUUGCGGUAUUCGAGUGGCGCACGGGUGAGUAACACGUGUGUAACCUUCCCUUUUCUUCGGGAUAUCCUCAGGAAACUGGGGCUAAUACCGCAUAUGAAUCCUUUCUGCAUCGUUUGUUUUUGAAAGCUCCGGCGGGUUUGGAUGGACUCGCGGCUUAUUAUCUUGUUGGUGGGGUAGUGGCUUACCAAGGCAUUGACGGGUAGACGGCCUGCGAGAGCGAUCGGCCACACUGGCACUGAGAUAAGGCGCAGAAGCCGACGGGAGGAAGAAGUGAGGAAUAUUGAACAAUGGGAGGAAGCCUGAGGCAGCAAGGACGCGUGUAGGAUGACGGAAUUGGGGUUGUAAACCGAUAAAAGCAGGGGCGAAGGUUGUGGUGAAGGUACCUGAAGAAGAAGCACCGGCUAACUACGUG